GACGAACGCUGGCGGCGUGCCUAAUACAUGCAAGUCGUGCGGACCUUUUAAAAGCUUGCUUUUAAAAGGUUAGCGGCGGACGGGUGAGUAACACGUGGGCAACCUGCCUGUAAGACUGGGAUAACGCCGGGAAACCGGGGCUAAUACCMGAUAGUUUUUUCCUCCGCAUGGAGGAAAAAGGAAAGGCGGCUUCGGCUGCCACUUACAGAUGGGCCCGCGGCGCAUUAGCUAGUUGGCGGGGUAACGGCCCACCAAGGCAACGAUGCGUAGCCGACCUGAGAGGGUGAUCGGCCACAUUGGGACUGAGACACGGCCCAAACUCCUACGGGAGGCAGCAGUAGGGAAUCUUCCGCAAUGGACGAAAGUCUGACGGAGCAACGCCGCGUGAGUGAAGAAGGCCUUCGGGUCGUAAAACUCUGUUGCCGGGGAAGAACAAGUGCCGUUCGAACAGGGCGGCGCCUUGACGGUACCCGGCCAGAAAGCC
This 484-nucleotide ribosomal RNA is filed under the name Heyndrickxia coagulans. RNAcentral describes it as "bacterial SSU rRNA". It matches the Rfam family "Bacterial small subunit ribosomal RNA", at positions 28 to 492 of the family's 1533-position model. The record is from RNAcentral. Lineage: Bacteria; Bacillati; Bacillota; Bacilli; Caryophanales; Bacillaceae.